Molecule: long non-coding RNA, 1346 nt
Organism: Felis catus (domestic cat)
Lineage: Eukaryota; Metazoa; Chordata; Mammalia; Carnivora; Felidae
Exons: 3
Source: RefSeq, a predicted model, not a curated record
UGAGCUUUGGAGGCAGACUGGUCUCAAAACCUGGCCCCCUCCAUUCGCUGGCAGCGUGGCCUUGGGCAAGGAACUCGCUCUGCCCUCAGUAUCUUCAUUUAUAAAAUGAAGGGUAGAACUUUAUUAUAGCCUGAUGGCUUUGUCACAUGGAAUAAACCGCUUUCUCACUUGGAAAGCCGUUAGAACAGUACUGUAACUGGCACACAGAAAGGGCUAAUGAACGUUGGCCACAAACCCAAUGAAAAGACUCCCUUAAGAGCCACCACACAAGGCCCGAUACAAAAGGACAUACCUUAACUUUGGAGUUCUCUAUCAAAUGCUGAGCCAUGGAUUUUAUCAAAACGUCAAAGAAAAACCAUGAAUACUGAAAGAAAACAAAAAAGGAUGCUGGUAAGAAAAACAACAACUUAGAAGAGUUGAUGUACAGCACUCUGGAGUUGUCCUAUUUAUGAGGCCGCUUCUUGCCACCACCUAAAACCACAGAGAAGUGAGAGUACCCAGCUAAGAGCAUCCUUAUAAGGUUCCCGAGAGGUACAAAGUUCUCCUUACUGGAUUUUCUAAGUCACCUUUUAGUUGCAGUUGUAUGAGUUACUAUCUGUUGGAGAGGGAAAGAAUCCUAUUUCACCAAUGACUUAACCAAACUGGAUUUUAGGGUCCUGACAGUGAUGGCAGAAGAUUGUCCAGCAAAUGGGACAGUAUGAAGUCCUACAUGGGUAAAGGGUCAAUACUCUGUGUGUGCUUGCUUAGAUUUCUGACUCCUCCAUUUUUUCUUACGUUCAGAUUAGGAAUUAUAACUGAAUGGUAUAGGAUUUCUCCUGAUUUUGGAAUCUUUUAACCAUUUGUCCAUAACAUGGACCCAAAUUUGGCACUACUUCAAUGCUGAGAAAUAUUAAAAGCUCUGCAAAAUGAAAUAAAGCAGACCCUUACCUGAGUGCAUUAUAAAACUGAAAUCUAUAAAAUUUAAGAUGGCCAAACAAACUGCAAAAUCAGUUAACCAAUGGGAGAAAUGGGAGAAAAUUCAGGCUUUCAUGGAUUAGCAAAGGUAUCAGAACCAGCUACCCUGUGGGCACGAGUUGCUACAUUUACACUAAACAGAAAGACAAUUCCUAAUAGUUUGCAUGACUCUAAGAACACGUCCUUAUUUGAGCAUGGCUGAUUUGCAGUGAAAAACUUUUACCUCAUCCAGUAUCUCUAAGUCUGUUUCCCUGAUGAGGCGCUGCUAGUUCAGGACUUAUAAAAUGCCCAAACUAGAAUUCUAGAUUGUGCCGUUAAUAGCACUGCCUUCCAAUGGCCUAUGUUUACUUGGAAAUGAAUAACUAAAACCAAAAUGUUGGGACCGGCAAAAA